Molecule: ribosomal RNA, 775 nt
Filed under: uncultured Neocallimastigales
Lineage: Eukaryota; Fungi; Neocallimastigomycota; Neocallimastigomycetes; Neocallimastigales
Description: partial large subunit ribosomal RNA
Rfam family: Eukaryotic large subunit ribosomal RNA
Source: RNAcentral
GUAGUCUCGCACAGAUGCAUAUCAAUAAGCGGAGGAAAAGAAACUAACAAGGAUUCCCUUAGUAACGGCGAGUGAAGCGGGAAGAGCUCAAAUUUGAAAUCUUCAAGGUUUUACCUUGACGAAUUGUAGUUUAAAGAAGUGUUUUCUGUUGAAGUUUUGGUAAAAGUUCUUUGGAAUAGGACAUCAUAGAGGGUGAGAAUCCCGUAUUUGACCAUUAUUUUCAGCUGUGUGAUACACUUUCAAAGAGUCGGAUUGUUUGGGAAUGCAGUCCAAAAUGGGUGGUAAAUUUCAUCUAAAGCUAAAUAUUGGCGAGAGACCGAUAGCGAACAAGUACCGUGAGGGAAAGAUGAAAAGAACUUUGAAAAGAGAGUUAAACAGUACGUGAAAUUGUCAAAAGGGAAGCGUUUGACACCAGUGUUGCUUUUCUGAAAAUCAAUUAAAGAACUGUUUAUGCUAAGCUGUUUAGACUUUAUCAGCUAUCUGUUUAGUUUUGAGCUUUUCUUUAAUGACACUUUUCAGUUAACAAGUCAACAUCAAUUUCUUUUGCUGUAAAAAAGCUUGAGGAAGGUGGCUUGAGAUUCGUCUUAAGUGUUUAUAGCCUCUUGCCUAUGCAGUCGGAGAGAUUGAGGUCUGCAGCGUAGAUCCUUCGGGGCUAAAUGUAUUUGUGCUAAGUUAUAGCAUUUUAUAGACAACUUGUUGACUAUGAUUUGUCUUGUAGCUUACUCGCUUAUGUUAUUUUACCUACGCUUAGGAUGUUGAUGUGAUACUGCGAGCA